GAGACAGCAGUCGCCACGGUAAUACGAGGGGGGCGAGCGUUGUUCGGAAUUAUUGGGCGUAAAGGGUGCGUAGGCGGCUUGACAAGUCUUGUGUGAAAUCUAUGGACUCAACCCAUAGUCUGCACGGGAAACUGUCGGGCUUGAGAAUGGGAGAGGUGAGUGGAAUUUCCGGUGUAGCGGUGAAAUGCGUAGAUAUCGGAAGGAACACCAGUGGCGAAAGCGGCUCACUGGACCAUAACUGACGCUGAGGCACGAAAGCUAGGGGAGCAAACAGGAUUAGAUACCCCUGUAGUCCCUGUCUCUUAUAC
RNAcentral lists this ribosomal RNA (308 nucleotides) under uncultured bacterium. RNAcentral's name for it is "partial 16S ribosomal RNA". It matches the Rfam family "Bacterial small subunit ribosomal RNA", at positions 505 to 807 of the family's 1533-position model. The record is from RNAcentral.